GAGAGAGAGAGAGAGAGAGAGGUACUAGGAAUUUGGCUUUGAAGAAUUGCACAUAGACAUUUCGGACCAAUUGAUAAGAGCUGGCGAUGCUGACCAUUCACAGAAUGUCAAAGGGUGUAGAAGAUGAACCAACCCUUUGUUUGAGAGGAAAUUUUUGGAGUCAAGGUAUGAAUUUUUAAAGUAAUGGGCAUAUGGGUCACUUGUUUGGGAGCAAAACAUCCUUAAUAAAUUUUAAAAUUUUCAUAUUUAUAAUUAUUUAAAUAUGUCCCUUUACAUAAUAAGAAUAUUUAGAUAAUAUUAUACUUAACCUUUACAGGGACUUAAUAUGACCAAUCAAAAUUCAAGGGCUCCAUAACAAAAAAGUUAAAAGUACAAGGACUCCAAGAUGCAUUUUGCCUAUUAGUAAAUACAAUUAUCCAUGAUUGCACCAUCAUCUCCUCUUCUUUAGACGAUAACACAAAAGCAGGAGCAAGAAGAAACUUAUCUCAAUCUUUAGAGCAAAAGAUAUCUAAAACAACCAAGAUCCGUGUAAAAAUUCCCUAUAUGCGUACCAACUGAAAACUACAACCAAAUAUAAUACAGUUCUCCAUUUUUAAAGAUGAAUUUUUUUGUCAAAAAGAUGAAUUCAAAAAUCCAACUUCAACUAAAUGAAUUUUGCAAUAUAUCACCACUGUUUUCUAUGGCUUUUGGGGGAGGAGGCACAUCCAUGGGUUUUGCACUUUAGAAUAGCAAGGUGCUGGCUUAUAUGGUGCUCUACAGCACAUGAAGGAAUAAUAAGAUUUUUUAUAAGAUGUUAACAAGCUCAUUAGAUAUUAAUUACUCAUAUUAUAGAAAAUCUGCUUCUAGUUCAAUCUAGUAUAAGCACAUGUUACAUCUGUUGUCCACGGAAUAUAAUUCAGUUUUGAGCUUGCAAAAUUAGAACAAUGUCCACACCAGGCUUCUUUCUUAGGUAAAUUAGCUGAUGUAAAUAACACCAGACUAGGCUUCUACUCAUCUGCAAAUCCUCCAACUAAAAAAUCAUCAAAACAUGCCUAGUGACUAAUCAUUACUGUUAGUGUCAAAAUGCCACAGGCAGGAUUAUUAUGUAAUGAUUUGAUACAAGUCAAUCACCUAAUUAGCAA
RNAcentral lists this unclassified non-coding RNA (1121 nucleotides) under Hevea brasiliensis (rubber tree). Lineage: Eukaryota; Viridiplantae; Streptophyta; Magnoliopsida; Malpighiales; Euphorbiaceae. The record is from RNAcentral.